UAUCCUCACACAAGAAAAGAAUAAAGAAAUAAAUAUAAAGGAAAAUUGCGGAGAAGGCGGAAAGACGGUGGAAAGAACUCAGUAGUAAGUCUUGGAGAGCAAGUGAUUCCGUUCUCAAUCUAGUCGGAACCCUAGUUUCCUCCGUCAAGAUUACUAUGGAAAUCGAUUCUGCCGAGUAUCAGUUAAGGUGUCAGCUUGCAGGUCACGAAGACGAUGUCCGGGGUAUAUGUAUCUGUGACAAGGUUGGUUUUGCAACCUCAUCUAGAGACAGAACCAUUCGGUUUUGGUCUCCAGAUGAAUCUAAUCACCGCAAGUUUACUACGUCAAAGAUACUGCUAGGGCAUACAAGUUUUGUUGGCCCACUGGCUUGGGUUGCUCCCAGUGAGGAGUUACCUGAGGGAGGACUUGUAUCUGGUGGCAUGGACACUCUUAUCUUGGUGUGGAAUUUGUCUACUGGAGAGAAAAUUCAGACACUUAAGGGUCAUAAGUUGCAAGUUACAGGUAUUGCUUUGGAUGGCUCAGACGUUGUAUCAACAUCUGUUGAUUGUACAUUAAGACGAUGGAGGAAGGGCCAAGAGGUUGAAGUUUUGGAAGCUCAUAAAGCAGCAAUCCAAGCAAUUAUUAAAUUUCCCUCAGGCGAGCUUGUUACAGGCUCAAGUGACACAACACUGAAGCUUUGGAAGGGAGCAGCAUGUAUACACACUUUUUCUGGGCAUACAGACACUGUUCGGGGCCUUGCCGCGGUGCCUGGUCUAGGAAUUCUUUCUGCAUCCCAUGAUGGUACCAUAAGGCUGUGGGAACUUAGUGGUCAAGUUUUACUGGAGAUGGUUGGUCACACUUCUAUUGUCUAUUCUGUUGAUGCUCAUGCCUCUGGGCUUAUUGUCAGUGGCAGUGAGGAUCGUUUUGUGAAGAUCUGGAAAGAUGGAGUCUGUGUCCAAAGCCUAGAGCAUCCCGGCUGUGUUUGGGAUGCCAAGUUCUUAGACAACGGCGACAUUGUGACCGCAUGCUCUGAUGGUGUGGUGCGCAUUUGGACUGUCCAUCAGGAUAAGAUUGCUGACCCGCUAGAACUAGAGUCAUAUGCUGCCCAACUCUCACAGUACACGCUCAGUAGGAAAAGAGUUGGAGGGUUGAAAUUGGAAGAGCUUCCUGGGCUUGAGGCCUUACAAACCCCAGGUACUAGUGAUGGACAGACCAAAGUUGUCCGUGAAGGAGACAAUGGAGUGGCGUAUGCAUGGAAUAUGAUGGAGCAAAAGUGGGAUAAAAUUGGUGAAGUGGUUGACGGCCCCGAUGAUGGCAUGUCACGCCCUCUUCUUGAUGGAAUCCAAUAUGAUCAUGUGUUCGAUGUUGAUAUUGGAGAUGGUGAACCUGUUCGCAAAUUGCCCUGCAAUCGCUCAGAUAAUCCAUAUGACGUUGCUGACAAGUGGCUACUCAAAGAGAAUCUGCCUCUUUCUUACCGUGAACAAAUUGUGGAGUUCAUUCUUCAAAAUACUGGUCAGAAACAGUUUACUCCGGAUCCAUCAUUCCAUGACCCCUACACUGGCAGUAGCGCUUAUACACCUGGUCAACCUUCAAAGCCAGUUGCAACAAAACCUACUUUUAAGCAUGUCCCCAAGAAAGGAAUGCUUGUCUUUGAUGCAGCACAAUUUGAUGGUAUCCUCAAGAAAGUUUCAGAGUUCAAUAAUACUUUACUAUCUGCCUCAGAGCAAAAACAUAUGGUAUUGACUGAAGCUGAUAUGUCCAGACUGGCUUCUAUCAUUCAUGUUUUGAAGGACACAUCACGCUACCAUAGCAGUAAAUUCUCAGACGAUGAUGUUGUAAUGGUGCUGAAGGUUCUAAAAUCUUGGCCACUGACGAUGUUAUUUCCAGUAAUCGAUAUUUUGAGGAUGAUCAUACUACACGCUGAUGGUGCUGCUGUACUUUCCAAGCAUGUCAACAAUGCGAAUGAUGUGCUUAUGGAGUUGAUCAAGAAGGUUACAACCAGUCCUCCACUUCCUGCAAAUCUUCUGACAAGUGUUCAUGCUUUGACCAACUUCUUUAAGAAUGAAUCCUAUCAUGAUUGGCUGUUAAAGCAUCGUGGGGAGGUUCUGGAUGCCUAUUCCACUUGUUACUUGUCUUCCAAUAAAAAUGUUCAGUUGGCUUAUUCAACAUUGAUACUCAAGUAUACUACAUCAAAGUGUAGUCCCCCUCCAAAAAGUUUUACUUACAUCAUUCCUAGGAUCUUCUAGUUACAACCAGUCAAUAAUAAACACAUUUUCAGCAUCUCCUAUCACUACUUGCUUACACCAAAAAUAAUAAAGCCCUAGGCAAUUAGUCUUUAUCUUCUGGAUAUUGUUCUGUUUUCCUUCAAAGCAUCUUUGAUUCCUUUCCUUCCAAAUUGUCCACCAAAUGCAAGCUGGGACAAUCCUCCAUCUCUUCUCAUUUUUUCCUGCAUUUCCAUCCCUGUUCCAGCAUUGUAGGACUUCUAUAAUACUCCCAGGCUUUGUCCACUUAAUCUUCCUCUUUUGGAUAAACAUCUGCCACAAUUGAUCAGUCCAUUUGCAGUGUAAAAAGAGAUGGUUGACUGUCUCCACCUGUUCUUCACAUAGAUAGCAACUAGAGCGUAGAUUGGGUUUCCUCUUGUUUAAGUUCUCAUGUGUCAAGACUGCCUGCUUUGCCAAGAGCCAUGUGAAGUAAUUCACCUUGUAGGGAAUUUCUGUUCUCCAGAUCAUCCUCCAGGGCCAUCCUGCAUGCUGCUCCUCCGUAGACCUGAGUUCUCUGUAUGCUGAUUUUACAGUGAACUCUCCCCCUCUCUCCCCCUUCCAUACUAGUCUAUCUUCCUCUCCUGUCAGAUUGGUAGCCAUUUGCAUUGUAUCAUGAAAUCUUGCUAUGGUUGUCAUCUCCCAAUCAUUUAGUCCCCUUCUUAGAAACAGGUUCCACCCUUGUCCUGUCCAUAACUCUGCCACUGUUGCUUCUUGUCCUUGGCUCAGACUAUGUAGUACAGGGAAAGUAUGUUUGAGUGCUUCCUGUCCACACCAAAUGUCAUUCCAAAAAGCUACUUUUUCUCCAUUGCCCACCUUGCAGCUUGUUCUCUCUUUGACCAGCUGCCAUAGGUUCCUGAUAGACCUCCAUACACUACAAUUGUAAGGGUUGGUGAUCACCUCUGUCAUCCAUUUAUCCUCCAUGCCAUAUUUUUCUAUUAUUACUUCCUUCCAUAGAGAUACUUCUGGUGAGACAAAUUUCCACAACCAUUUCAUCAUCAAACUCUUGUUUUGGGUUUUCAGCUCUCUGAUAUUGAGUCCACUCCCUCUCUUACUUACCAGUAGUUCCUCCCAUAAUGUCUGUCCAAGUUUUAAUAACCAUCCAUGACAAAUAUUCUGUAUCCUUGAGGAUAUUCAUGCGUAUUUAUUGUGUUAGAUUAGUUUUACACUUAAAAAUCCAAGUCUCUCCCUUCAAUGUGAACUUAUAGAAUUCUCUAUUUUUUUUUAUAGUUAAAGUAAACUAAUUCAUUAAAAGAAGGGCAAAAGCGCUCCUGUAUACAAAAAGUAUACCAAUCUUUGAUUCAACUAGGAACCUCAUGGGUGCACCAAAAGGAAAUAAGGGAAAAAGAGUAUUUCUCAAGUGAACAAAAUCUUUCUCAACUCUAUCAAAAGCUCUUGUAUUCCGCUCUCUCUCCAUAUGGUCCACAUUAGUAUGGAGCAACAUUCCAUGCGCUGCUGCGUCUUCUCUUUCUUCUUCUAAAGGUUCAGCUAAACAUUGGUUCUUUCACAGUGCCUUGCAUCACCCACUCAAUUCCAAACCAUCUCAGAAUUUCCCCCACAAACAAGACGCUACCCAGAAAUAUAGAAUUUAGUUCUUUCGACUUUGUUGUGCAUUUAUCUCAUCCCUGUUUCUGUUUGUUGUCUACAUUUAUAUAUUAAGAUCAGCUUCUUCUUUUUUCUGCUUGACCCCAUGGAAGUGUAGUCAGAGUUAAUUAGGUAAAAAUUUCUCUGAGAAAAAGGAGCUUAUUCUGUAAAUUCAUCCCUUUUUUUUUUGGUAAUAACUGUGAAAUAUUACCUUAGACAAAAAACAAACAGAUAACACCCCAUUCCUUGACUUCUUUCUAGGAAGGCUAUCACACAUGUGAGGCCUCAAAAAAACAAAUCGGUUACAUAUUUUGUCAAUGAAAACCCACAUUUCUUAGUUCUUUUUGAUGUUCUGUACAUGUCAAUUCUUUCUCUAAGUUCUAGUUGUAUUUGUUGUAUGAUAGUAUCCCUUUGCACAGUAUGUGGUCCCAUUACAUCUUCCAAUUUCUAGCUAUCCAAGUAUGGACUAAAGCUCCCAGUUCAGCAGCUACAAUAUCUUUCUUCAUUCUCCUUGAAUGCUUGCUCUUUAGUUUGAGUUGAGAUAUUACAACAUCAUGCUGUUGUAGAGCCAACCCAAACCAUCUAGUGAGUCGUCCCUUAAUGCAGUAGUCCAAUCACUUUCAAGCAAACAGGUGAUGAGCAGAUUCCAUGGUAUCAGUCACAUAAGCAGCAGCUAUGCUGUACUCUUGAUUGAAAAGAAGGAUGAAGAGGGACAGUCUCAAGUUCUUUCGGCUGCACUUGAGGUU
Molecule: RNA transcript, 4567 nt
Organism: Solanum tuberosum (potato)
Lineage: Eukaryota; Viridiplantae; Streptophyta; Magnoliopsida; Solanales; Solanaceae
Gene name: phospholipase A-2-activating protein
Exons: 21
Source: RefSeq, a predicted model, not a curated record